CACCAUAGAAUAUUCAAUAAUGAAAUUGGAAAGAAAAGUAAACUACCUACUUAUUAUUUUCCCCUUAUAAUCGGUUUAAUUUUGAAUUGCCAGCUAUCUGAAAAGCUUUCAAAGCUGUCAUCUUUUGACAUUUGAUGAGUAAAAACUACGCCAGUAUUAAAAAUUAAACGAUACAUGCUUCAAAAACGUAUCACCUUCUUUCUCCACAGACCCCACUGAGGUCGCUAGCUAGCUCAGGAGAGAUCUAAAAGGGCGCCACCGAUUCUAUAUGAGAAGAACGACUACGGUAGGGUGAGCUGAGUGUAUCGGAACCUGAAAAACUACAAGGGUAUAGAAGGAUGGGAUGAAUCACAAUCACUCAAAUCUCUCUAUCUCUCUGAAAUGAUCUAAAUAAUGAGAUACUUACUGAGGUAACCUCUGUGAAUAGUGAAAUACCCAAGUAAAAAAGGAAAACAAUAGAAUAACUACUAAAUAAUCCGGUCAGAUCUGAUCGAAUCGUACAGCUGUUCGUAACGAGAAAUAUGGGAAAAUGUAUGCCAAUUUCGAAGGUGUGCCCUCUCCCUGAGGAUUGCGGUGUUUAUCCCGAGAUCAUUGAUGGAAUCAUUAGUUUGGCACACAGUGAUCUCUACUAAUUACACCUUCCAUUGGGACUGUAGUGUCAUAACAGAUAUGAAAACGGCCAGACAUUGUGAUAUACAACUAACUAACUCAGCAGUGCAAAAUGUAGUACGUGAGGAGUGCUCAUCACUACGCUUAGGCACAUUCACAUUAUUGCCAGGAGUUGAGACGACAUAUAGUGUCAGCCACAAAUGCUGACAAAGGGCCAAAAUUAUUCCGAGAUGCACAGAAAUCGGCCAUUCUGAGAUCCGGGGACUCGAGAACAGAUAGACCGUAAAUGACCCUGAGGUCACUAAACAAGGGACAGUUUCUAAGGAUGUGGUCGCUGAACUGCGGGCGACCACAUGGACAAUGUCCCUCUUCGACCAGACCCAGCCUGAACAGAUUACCUUUGAAGGGACCAUGGCCUGAAAUGAAACAGGCCAGAGGGAAACUUGUGAUAUACAACAAGCUUGAAACAAAUGCUGUCAUUAUCGACUUGUCAGUGCCAUAAAACAACAAUCUAUUAGAAAGUAAUAUCGCUGAAUACAAGCCAUUGGCAAAGAAAAGCGUCAGCGGGCUUAUAUAUAAGAAAACCAUAAAACAUCUUACAAAACUGAAUCUGCCUCAGAAUGUGAUCUCAUGGAUGCAGAAAGCAGUGAUAUUGGGAACAUCGAACAUCAUCCGAAAAAUUCUCUACCCUCAUUAGCUCGAGUGUCUUACUCUUUACCGUUUUUUCGAAUUAUAUUCCAUUAAUUUCUGUUUUAUUGAAACUGGGCUACAAAAACCUCUCAGUUCCAAUUGAAUGUAUUCCCUUUAUUCAUUUAUGUAUAUCGACAUCUCCUUCUGGAGUCGACUAUCAGUAUCAAUUUCCUUCAUCACUUCAAGAAACAAAUAAGGUCAGGGAUAAUCUACUCCUUAAUCAGUAUUUAAUCGUGGUUUAACAAGCUGUUGCUCAAGAAUCAAUUGUCGAUCUUGAACUUUUGCUCAUCAGAAUAGUGUGAACAUGAAGUGUGAAAAUAAGAGACAAUUAUAAAAAUUAUUUUCACUCACUGCUAAAUCAAUAUCUAGAUGGAAUAACUUCUCAUUAAUCGGUAUGUAUCAUUUGUAUUGAAUUCUAUACACUUACUGUUAAAUCUGGAUUUAUCUUCAAAAUCACUUUUCAAUUGGAAAGCUACAUUUUAUUGAAGGUUUACUUAUUCUACCCCUAACUCUAACAACAUACCUUCAUCGUGUGUCAAGGCCAAGGAAAAACUUUUCUUGGAUCUCUCAAACGUAAAAUGUAGUGGUGCAUACCAAUAUGUAAUUUACUGUUUUUCAUCAGUUUGACUGAGAAAAUUGUCAAAAUUAAUUGUAACUGGUGAAAAAAAAUGAGGAAACCUCUACGAUAAGUCAGGAGCUUUUGAGUGCUCGUGAUUCAUGAGCCAAUUGCUCCCUAGAGACCACAUAUAAUGUGGAAUCGUAUAUUGUUUAUACAGGGUGUAACAUGAAUGAUUGGUCAAUGCAGGUCAUCCAUCCCUUUCAGAAAAGUAGCUUGUUGUAUAUCCUGAGACUUUUUUUGAGAGUUUCGGAGAUCCAGGUUGAUUAAUGCAAAUUGGCCUAAAUUUUUAUACAUACAUAACUUGGAAAUCAGGAGUACGAUUUUGUUUAUUUUUUGUGGAUUUGUUCACUUUAUACAACCCUUCAAAAUUUUCUUGUAAUUUUAAUAUUUCCAGGGCAGUACUCAGAUUAUUGACUCUAUUUUUUCCUCGUUUUGGAAGAAUAUUGUUAUUACCAUAAAAAAAUAUAUAAUUCAGUGUAAUGAAUUCAAUUUUUACUUUGAAUGGCACACUUUCAUCAGAAGAGUUGCAAACGAACGAAUUCAUGUUUUAUGUAACUUUUUUGAAAUAUGGUCUUGUUUUUAUUUCGUUCGUGAUGAUAUUUGAUCUUAUCAGCUGAGGUCUUGACUUUUAUAGCUUUUUGUUCAAUCUUUCUUUAUUUUAAAACCAAAGUGUUGUAACAUGCUGUAUAAAACAUUGAUUAGAAGUAUGCAUGAUCCAUCAAAUGUGAAUUCUUUUGAAAAUAGGAAUUAAAAUCAAAACGAAAUGACAUUACCAAAUUGGAAAAUGUAAACAAUUAGUGUAUUUGCUUUACGGUAAAAAUAAGACAUAAAAAUCAAUAUUUUGAGAAAAUUUGAACGUAUUCACUUUUAUUAAUUGAAAAUGUGAAUUGAAAAGAAGGUAUAAGAUGUUCAACUGUUUUUGUCUACACUAGGUACUUAUAUUUGAUAUGAUCUUUAGAUAUUUAUUCAUAUGAACAAUUACAAAAAAACUGCAGAAAAAGAACUGAGAGAAAUGUAAAAAUAAUAAAACUCUGAAAAUCAAAUAUUUAAUUUUAUUACUAACAUCACCGAGUAUCGCCAUGGAGAUGUUUGGUGUAUUCAGCAGAGCAGGGAUCGAACUGAUGAGUCCAUCAGUGAAAUUAUGAUUUAGAAUGUCCAAUAAUUUGAGAAGUUUCAAAACCAUUUAUGCACACACCACAAUGAUGAUGGUAAUGAAUUGGAAUAAGAUGAAAUGACUCAUGUCAACAUACAUACCUACAGGGUUUCCUCUACAAUUGUUCAUAAAAAGUCCACAAAUAUUGUGUACUUUUAAAGAAAACCAUAACUGUUAAAAAUGAAACAAUUUGAUAGAAUUACUACAUAAUAAAACAUGCACAAAAAUGUGUAUAUUUUUUACGCAAGAUCGAGCUGUACUUAUUCAGCACCAAUUUGUGUACAUCAGGUUUACAAUAGUUGUUAAAUCGUACAACCAUUUUUAAGAGUGUAUAUUUUCAAUGUUGUCAAAACGUAUUAUAACAGGUUUCUCGAAUUUUGUUCCAAUUCAAUAAAGUGAAUUGUCUUGCAAUUUACCUACAGUUUUUCAUUGGAUAUUUGUAAAAUAAUCCCCCUCAAAUUUCCUUGUUGUUCCUCCGACAAAUUGUAAACAAAAAUGUUAUUAAUUUUUUCGUCUUGUUGCAGGUUAUCAGUUUUCACAUGGGAGACUCUUAUCUCUUCCGUGUUGUUCAUGACUGUUCCUUGUAAAGUAUCCAAUUUUUUAUUGACCUUGUUCAGAAAUUUGUUUACGAAUUCUCUAUCACAGAGCGUUUCGAUAAGGGAAUUGAUGGCAUUUUUUAUAUCGUCCGUUAUUUUUGGGUCCUUUUUUUGGAAUAUCAAAAUCUCUGUUGUACCAAAGGCUUAAAAACAAGGAUAUUUUGCAGUCCAAGGAGAAAGUUUACCAUUUUCAUAUCAACACAAAUUUCCAACUGAUGUUCUUCUGUUUUUAUUCUUCCUUCAUGGUAGUAAAAUGACAAAUUGGUAGUGAAUCUUAGUUGUUACUGUUAUGUAAAAAACACAAAAUUUUUUGAUCUGUCUAUAAAAAGGCGCAAUUUUGCAGUUAAUUGAAAAUUAAAAAACACACAGUAAUAUGAACGAAAUAAGAGUGAAAUAUUGGUAUCAUGAGAAGUGUUUCGCCCUGUACUAGAUUAUUCUAGUAAUUGGUUUUUUUUUAAUUUUAUAGUUGAUAUGAUUUAUUUAUUAAUUUAUUUUCCUUAUGAAAAUGAAAAUAUACAAAUUUUUAUCUUUU
Harmonia axyridis is the source of this 4199-nucleotide long non-coding RNA. RefSeq lists it as uncharacterized. The transcript has 2 exons. Lineage: Eukaryota; Metazoa; Arthropoda; Insecta; Coleoptera; Coccinellidae. The record is from RefSeq and is a predicted model, not a curated record.